This 2108-nucleotide long non-coding RNA is filed under the name Strigops habroptila (Kakapo). Its description in RNAcentral is "lncRNA (ENSSHBG00005002220.1)". Lineage: Eukaryota; Metazoa; Chordata; Aves; Psittaciformes; Psittacidae. The record is from RNAcentral.
UCCGCCUGCUGUAUUUAUUGAAUUAUAUUUGUCCAGCUCACCCUCUGAGCGUUAAAGGGAAUGACAGCCAUGCACAUCCACCCCAACACACCCUGUAAUGUGUACAUACAUCCCCCAGCCAGCCCCAGACAAGCACAUGCAGACCCACACAGCCAAACCCACUCUGUGGUACUGUCACCUUCCCAUCCCAGUAAGGCGCUAUUGCCCCCCGAAAGCUGUAGGACAGUGACUUCCAGGCGACCCUUUCUGUCCUCCUUUCAGCUGUGAGCACCCUUUCCCCAGAGCUACUGUUUUUCUUCUGUCAAAGGUUAAGCCCCUCCAUCCAGCCCCUGUUUGUCUUUGUCCCCGGUCGUUUGACUUGUUAGAUGAUAGCCCAAUGUGUGUAAAUAAUGUAUAUACAGUGAGAAAAGAAUUCAGUAUUGAGGUGUUUGAGAUAUGGAGCUGUAACAACUUAUAGUCAUCCAGUAUCUGUGAUUUAUGUGCCAUUUUCUGUAAAGAUAUGAACAAGAAUAAAACUGAACGGGAAUACUGUGUGUGAGUCCAGUCACCAGUGUUCAAGGAGGUGAAUUCAGCCAAAGCUGAGAGGUGGCUGGACAUCAGGCCAUAACCAGAGAGAAGUGGGAGCUCCAAAGCGGCACAGGAGAGGUCUGGACCCAUCAUGGCAUCUGAUAAAAACGAGGUGUGUGGUCUGGGAUGAGUGCACCUGCCAUCAAAUAGUGCCUGUCUGCCGUAUGUUGUCCAGCCUGUUCACCAAACCUAUCAGCCCUGCAGACCACAAGUGGUGUUGCAAAGAGAUCUGCUGCUCCUCCCAUCCCUGCUGUUGAUCCCAUUGGGGCGCCUGGCUCUGAACAGCUCUGCUUGUAGGGAAAGCCUUUUUUUGAUCUAAUGUUGUACCCCUAGGAAAGGAGGGGAAUGUGGUCAGUGAAUGUAAGGAAACCUCCAAGCUCUGCCUUAAAAAGCUCUACCUAUAUAGGGCCUAAAGGAAAGGAAGGCAGAAAAAUAGCUGUUUGGAGGCAGGGAGGCAGCUUAUCUCUGCUACAGCAGGAAGAGAUGGGCUGCAAUGAUUCAUGCCAAACCACCACCACCUGCUCCGCAAUGGCCUCACUGAGUGCUCCCAGACAACCUUGCGGUACAGCCGGUCUGAAGUGUUUGGGAGGAGGCAGAGAGCCCAGCCCAGUUAGCCAAGGGGACAGCUCUGAUAGCCAGCAGCAGUGAGGUGGGAUGGGAUGAGAUAUCCCCUUCUGCAGCAGGUGGCCACAAGAGAAAAACUUUCCCUGGCUCACCAGAGACAGCACAGCCUUGUACUCAGCAGGGAAUGGACCUUAAUUCUGGGAAGGGGAUAAACCCAUUGCCCAAGACUAGCAUGGAGACUACCCUAACUUGUACAGGUGAGCUGCUCCAGGCUGUGUGGAUGGUGGAGGAUUGGGGGGCUGCAGUGGGGAGUCUGUGCGGAGCAAGAGGAUGGAUAUGGGGAUGAGUAAGAGUGAUGUGUGAGGGAGGUGAGUGGGGGUGAAGCAAAGGAGUCCAGGGAAGAAGAAUUCCUUUUUCCCUGUGGUACUUUGGAAGAGAGGAGGAGAGGAAUGAGGCGGGGGAGAAGGGGCACCUGAGCAAAUUGUGUGGGAGAGCUGCUCGGUGUCCAGUCAGCCCAGGGCAAUGAAGCCCCAGUUCCCGCAAGGGCCUGUCUUGCCUGGGCUGGGUGUUCCAAGUGAGGGCUCCAGGCACCCAUCUCCUCAGUGAGAGGCAGGUAUCCUGUGAUGAUGGCCAGGCUGCUGCUAAGGGCUUGCUGCCCCAAAGCUCUUCCUCAGGCUCACAGAUGCUCCCCCUGGGUCAGCAUCAGCCCAAGCCAGGAGCCAUGGGCCCCUCACUGCCUACAUGCCUGAACCCACCACCUUCCCCCAGACAUGGGUUGACACGUAGUGAUCCCAGCCUUGGACUGCCCCUGCACUGUCACACACGGCUCUGCUGGCAGGCCUGGCACCCUCCGCAAGUGCCACUGGCAGCUUGUGUCUGAAGAAGCAGGCAGUGAGGUUGCUCUUGUGCUGCUGUUAUUUGUGGCACACAGGACGGCCAGGCUGCCAGCACAAAGACUGUUCCUGAAGAGGUGAGCC